This is a long non-coding RNA of Rosa rugosa (rugosa rose), 702 nucleotides long. RefSeq lists it as uncharacterized. The record is from RefSeq and is a predicted model, not a curated record. The transcript is spliced from 4 exons. NCBI's taxonomy places the organism in Eukaryota, Viridiplantae, Streptophyta, Magnoliopsida, Rosales, Rosaceae.
AUGUACCUGUGCAGCAAUGUGAUACUUACAAUUUCCUUCUUUUUACUAUUCGUAGGAUGCUUGGUUCAAUGAUAUGUCAUCUUGGCAGAUUUGUGCAGAUAAUCGGAGUACUGUGUGCCCAAAUGAAAGGGCAAGCUGUGGCUAUUGUGGCAGCAGUAACCUUACAUGGAAGGUGCCUGCCUUUGCUUCAAACUUUGGAAGAACUGACGGUUGCUGAGGUCUAUAUAGUGAAUCAUUGUGAUUUGGCUGGUUAAGGCUGCAGUCCAUACAGAUAAUGGGCAAAGCUUCGGCUUUAUUAGUAGCAGUACCACAUGGGUAGGCGUGUGGGGCUAAAUAGUACCACAUGCUUAGAGUUCAUAUGGAACGAGGAAUGCUAACAUUGUUAGCAGUAAGCAUUCCUUGGCCUUCAUUUGGUUUUACACAAGCCAAAGUUUAAGGAUCUCAGAGCCAACGGUUGCCAACUUCUACGAGUUUAUCUUUUUUGAGACUCAAGGUUGUUCAUGAAAUCUUUUUUCAUCUUAUUUAUGGUUUACAAUUGCUUUACUGUGCUCAAUUGAUGCCAAAAAAGGUUAAAAAGCAGAACAGAGUUGUUUAGCACUGAGACAAAAAACCUUACAGGUAAACCUCUACAAAAAAUUUUUUCAUUCAGAUUCAUAUUACAAAAUUUAUCUUCAUUCAGCUUCAAUUUUCUUCACAUCUCAA